This is a non-coding RNA of Mycena polygramma, 96 nucleotides long. NCBI's taxonomy places the organism in Eukaryota, Fungi, Basidiomycota, Agaricomycetes, Agaricales, Mycenaceae. The record is from the annotation of a GenBank genome assembly.
GUCCUUGUAGAUCAGCGGUAGAUCACCCACCUCAAUUGUGUAGAAAAAGGAAAUCCAAUUCCGUGGACGACGCGGGUUCGAAUCCCGCCGGGGGCA